GAGUUUAUAGCUCAGUGGUAGAGCAGCGGACUUUUAAUCCGUUGGUCGCAGGUUCGAGUCCUGUUAAACUCA
Molecule: transfer RNA, 72 nt
Organism: Fonticula alba
Lineage: Eukaryota; Rotosphaerida; Fonticulaceae
Rfam family: tRNA
About the family: Transfer RNA (tRNA) molecules are approximately 80 nucleotides in length. Their secondary structure includes four short double-helical elements and three loops (D, anti-codon, and T loops).
Source: Rfam